This 402-nucleotide ribosomal RNA is filed under the name uncultured soil bacterium. RNAcentral describes it as "bacterial SSU rRNA". It matches the Rfam family "Bacterial small subunit ribosomal RNA", at positions 26 to 451 of the family's 1533-position model. The record is from RNAcentral.
AGAACGAACGCUGGCGGCAGGCUUAACACAUGCAAGUCGAACGGUUGUAGCAAUACAGCAGUGGCAGACGGGUGAGUAACACGUGGGAACCUUCCUAGGGGUACGGAACAACUCAGGGAAACUUGAGCUAAUACCGUAUACGUCCGUAAGGAGAAAGAUUCAUCGCCCCUAGACGGGCCCGCGUAGGAUUAGGUAGUUGGUGAGGUAACGGCUCACCAAGCCUACGAUCCUUAGCUGAUCUGAGAGGAUGAUCAGCCACACUGGGACUGAGACACGGCCCAGACUCCUACGGGAGGCAGCAGUGGGGAAUCGUUGGACAAGUGGGCGCAAGCCUGAUCCAGCCAUGCCGCGUGAGUGAAGAAGGCCGUUGGGUAGUAAAGCUUCUUUAACGAGGGACGAUAA